This 501-nucleotide ribosomal RNA is filed under the name uncultured bacterium. RNAcentral's name for it is "partial 16S ribosomal RNA". It matches the Rfam family "Bacterial small subunit ribosomal RNA", at positions 29 to 523 of the family's 1533-position model. The record is from RNAcentral.
AUUGAACGCUGGCGGCAUGCCUUACACAUGCAAGUCGAACGGCAGCACGGGUGCUUGCACCUGGUGGCGAGUGGUGAACGGGUGAGUAAUACAUCGGAACGUACCUUAUCGUGGGGGAUAACGCAGCGAAAGCUGUGCUAAUACCGCAUACGCCCUGAGGGGGAAAGCGGGGGAUCGCAAGACCUCGCGCGAUUAGAGCGGCCGAUGCCUGAUUAGCUUGUUGGGGGGGUAAAAGCCCACCAAGGCGACGAUCAGUAGCUGGUCUGAGAGGACGAUCAGCCGCACUGGGACUGAGACACGGCCCAGACUCCUACGGGAGGCAGCAGUGGGGAAUUUUGGACAAUGGGGGCAACCCUGAUCCAGCAAUGCCGCGUGAGUGAAGAAGGCCUUCGGGUUGUAAAGCUCUUUUGUCAGGGAAGAAACACCGGCUCUAACACAGUCCGGGAAUGACGGUACCUGAAGAAUAAGCACCGGCUAACUACGUGCCAGCAGCCGCCGCCG